CAGGAGCUUGUUUCUGGAAUUGAGCGAGGUGUUGAAUUGGAUUCCAUUCUUCGUUUGACCACUGUUACUGGUAUAUUGAAUGGCAUGGAUGUUCAGGAGUGGAAUCCUUCCACUGACAAAUACAUUCCCAUCAAAUUCAAUGCUGAAACUGUAAGUUAACUAACUGACAUGGUUCAUAUUUUCCUUCUAAAUUGAUUAAAGAAAUUUCUUAGCCAGAUCUUCACUUUCAGGUUGCGGAAGCUAAAGCUCUUUUGAAAGAAGCUCUUCAAGCAGAAGUUGGAUUGCCUGUUGACAGGAACAUCCCUUUGAUAGGGUUUAUUGGUAGACUUGAGGAGCAAAAGGG
RNAcentral lists this long non-coding RNA (343 nucleotides) under Cucumis sativus (cucumber). Its description in RNAcentral is "long non-coding RNA (CSAT_LNC001753)". Lineage: Eukaryota; Viridiplantae; Streptophyta; Magnoliopsida; Cucurbitales; Cucurbitaceae. The record is from RNAcentral.